RNAcentral lists this ribosomal RNA (465 nucleotides) under uncultured bacterium. Its description in RNAcentral is "bacterial SSU rRNA". It matches the Rfam family "Bacterial small subunit ribosomal RNA", at positions 338 to 795 of the family's 1533-position model. The record is from RNAcentral.
CCUACGGGAUGCAGCAGUGGGGAAUAUUGCACAAUGGGCGCAAGCCUGAUGCAGCCAUGCCGCGUGUAUGAAGAAGGCCUUCGGGUUGUAAAGUACUUUCAGCGAGGAGGAAGGCGUUAAGGUUAAUAACCUUAGCGAUUGACGGUACUCGCAGAAGAAGCACCGGCUAACUCCGUGCCAGCAGCCGCGGUAAUACGGAGGGUGCAAGCGUUAAUCGGAAUUACUGGGCGUAAAGCGCACGCAGGCGGUCUGUCAAGUCGGAUGUGAAAUCCACGGGCUCAACCUGGGAACUGCAUUCGAAACUGGCAGGCUAGAGUCUUGUAGAGGGGGGUAGAAUUCCAGGUGUAGCGGUGAAAUGCGUAGAGAUCUGGAGGAAUACCGGAGGCGAAGGCGGCCCCCUGGACAAAGACUGACGCUCAGGUGCGAAAGCGUGGGGAGCAAACAGGAUUAGAUACCCGGGUAGUC